RNAcentral lists this small RNA (126 nucleotides) under Salmonella enterica subsp. enterica serovar Albany. RNAcentral describes it as "partial RtT sRNA". It matches the Rfam family "RtT RNA". From Rfam's summary of the family: This family represents a bacterial cis-regulatory element known as RtT RNA. The exact function of RtT is unknown although it is thought that it may be involved in changing the cellular response in relation to amino acid starvation. Lineage: Bacteria; Pseudomonadati; Pseudomonadota; Gammaproteobacteria; Enterobacterales; Enterobacteriaceae. The record is from RNAcentral.
UCCGUACGGGGAAGGAUGAGAAGCUUCGACUAAGGUUCGAUUCGAGCGAAAGCGAGAAAGCGUUGCCAACGGCAACGACCCGAAGGGCGAAGCGCGCAGCGCUGAGUAAUCCUUCCCCCACCACCA